RNAcentral lists this ribosomal RNA (497 nucleotides) under uncultured bacterium. Its description in RNAcentral is "partial 16S ribosomal RNA". It matches the Rfam family "Bacterial small subunit ribosomal RNA", at positions 28 to 507 of the family's 1533-position model. The record is from RNAcentral.
GAUGAACGCUGGCGGCGUGCCUAAUACAUGCAAGUCGAGCGAACAGACGAGGAGCUUGCUCCUCUGACGUUAGCGGCGGACGGGUGAGUAACACGUGGAUAACCUACCUAUAAGACUGGGAUAACUUCGGGAAACCGGAGCUUAUACCGGAUAAUAUAUUGAACCGCAUGGUUCAAUAGUGAAAGACGGUUUUGCUGUCACUUAUAGAUGGAUCCGCGCCGCAUUAGCUAGUUGGUAAGGUAACGGCUUACCAAGGCGACGAUGCGUAGCCGACCUGAGAGGGUGAUCGGCCACACGGGAACUGAGACACGGUCCAGACUCCUACGGGAGGCAGCAGUAGGGAAUCUUCCGCAAUGGGCGAAAGCCUGACGGAGCAACGCCGCGUGAGUGAUGAAGGUCUUCGGAUCGUAAAACUCUGUUAUUAGGGAAGAACAAAUGUGUAAGUAACUAUGCACGUCUUGACGGUACCUAAUCAGAAAGCCACGGCUAACUACGUG